This 465-nucleotide ribosomal RNA is filed under the name uncultured bacterium. RNAcentral's name for it is "partial 16S ribosomal RNA". It matches the Rfam family "Bacterial small subunit ribosomal RNA", at positions 28 to 507 of the family's 1533-position model. The record is from RNAcentral.
GACGAACGCUGGCGGCGUGCUUAACACAUGCAAGUCGAACGGAAAGGCCCUGCUUGCAGGGUCCUCGAGUGGCGAACGGGUGAGUAACACGUGGGUGAUCUGCCCUGCACUUCGGGAUAAGCCUGGGAAACUGGGUCUAAUACCGGAUAGGAGCCAUUUUUAGUGUGAUGGUUGGAAAGUUUUUUCGGUGUAGGAUGAGCUCGCGGCCUAUCAGCUUGUUGGUGGGGUAAUGGCCUACCAAGGCGGCGACGGGUAGCCGACCUGAGAGGGUGGACGGCCACAUUGGGACUGAGAUACGGCCCAGACUCCUACGGGAGGCAGCAGUGGGGAAUAUUGCACAAUGGGCGCAAGCCUGAUGCAGCGACGCCGCGUGGGGGAUGACGGCCUUCGGGUUGUAAACUCCUUUCGCUAGGGACGAAGCUUUUUGUGACGGUACCUAGAUAAGAAGCACCGGCUAACUACGUG